RNAcentral lists this transfer RNA (85 nucleotides) under Felis catus (domestic cat). It matches the Rfam family "tRNA". From Rfam's summary of the family: Transfer RNA (tRNA) molecules are approximately 80 nucleotides in length. Their secondary structure includes four short double-helical elements and three loops (D, anti-codon, and T loops). The record is from Rfam by way of RNAcentral. Lineage: Eukaryota; Metazoa; Chordata; Mammalia; Carnivora; Felidae.
GCCUGAGUGGCUCAGUCGGUUAAGCGUCCGACUUCAGCUCGGGUCAUGAUCUCACGGUUCGUGAGUUCGAGCCCCACGUCGGGCU